Syzygium oleosum is the source of this 661-nucleotide long non-coding RNA. RefSeq lists it as uncharacterized. Lineage: Eukaryota; Viridiplantae; Streptophyta; Magnoliopsida; Myrtales; Myrtaceae. The transcript has 2 exons. The record is from RefSeq and is a predicted model, not a curated record.
CCGGCGUGUUGUGCAUCUGUUAGUUGGAGUGUUACAAGAAUUAUGUGUAUUUGUGAGCUGAAUUAAUAUUAGGAAGUUGCAUAAUUUGGGAAACAGAGUUUAUUACAGCUUUGAUGGAGAACGGCGAAGUAAAUUUUCGGAGUCGACCAUCUGAGGAUCGAGCCAUUCCCAUGAAUGUUGAUGCAGAGCGUACAAAGCUUUCUACACAAGAUGUUGAGCAUCUUCUCAUGAAGAGUUUGUCUGUUCAUCUUAAUGAGGGCAUAAUCGAUCAAGUUGAGUGGACAGUAUAUAUUUCAUGGGUGCAGCCAAGAGCUUUGGGGAUUCCACAGGUCAAAUUACUGCGUGACCGACUGGACAAUCGGGUGGACAAAGUACACACGGCUUUGUUUUAUGUUGAAGCAUCCGUUUUUGCAACGAUCUUCUGAUUUGAACUGAAAGAAGAGAGAUAGAUGAGACACUUUGUAGCAAGGUACUUGGUCAGGCAGUUGUGCAUCUCAAUUUACUUCCUUAGUGCCUCAUUGUCUUAUGCCUAAUUCUCCUGUGACAUCAGCAAUUCCUUCCUACUUUCUCACGUCUAAGAUGAGUCCUCUUACUACUGUGGCGACUCGGUUUUAUCCUUUGGAUGUGGUCAUUGGAACACGUACUGAUUUCUUUUGCUCAA